CAUAAGCUCACAACGAUUUAUUGAUAUCUGCCUGCGGGAUUCUAACACUGGUUCAGUCGCAUCUUUAUUAGAAAGUCGGCCGUCUCUACUACACCGCUUAGGCCACGACGAUUUCAAAUUAAAUAGUAAAUUCUAGAAUAAAUGAGUUAGUUUUAUGGUUUUAUCAAUAAUAACGUGUAGGUACAACAGAUCCAUCUUACGCCGACAUGAGGCCGACAACGCUAGAACAACCAGUCGAUGACAUUCUAGGCGAGAUGCUGCUAUUCUUUAUCAAGCAAUAGAUAGUGGAUUUGUUUGACUUGGCAAGAGUAGGCUUUGAUUUGAAUACCAGAAAUAUAGUGUAGUCUUUCACAGCUUGAAGGAAAAUAAAAGCUGUGCAGACUAUUCAAAAUAAUGUUCACCCAAGGUCAUGGGCAAUAUGACGUGAAUAGGAAACUGCAUGUCAGACAUUAACUUAAUGUUCUAUAUUAUUUAUAAACAAAUGAAUCUAAUAUUUUAAGACAAUAAAUAAAUAUUUAUUUUUAUAAUUAGCCCAGUUUUUCGUCGACGAAGCCAUCUUAAGAGAAGCUUCAUUGCAAAUAUCAGGCCGAUAUUUAACUAUAGCGGACAACAAACAAGAGUAGACACAUCGUGAGCUGUAGUUGUAGAAAGAGGAGAAAAUGGAAACUAAGGCGAACCACUGGCUCAUGCAGCUUUCAUUUCAGCAGAGGCUGCUCGUACGCAAGCAGAGGCCGCGCAUCUUCCAGCUGAGAUAUAUAAAAAAAUUCAAGGAAUUGACCAAUAUCGGCAAAAACCUUGUUUAAAAUAAUAAGUUCAAUUUUGUUUUAAUUUUAGCUAAGUCCGUAAUAGUUUAUAUUACCAUAAAAACGAAAUAGCGCUUGUUACAAUAGCCAAGCAAAUCCAAAUAUAUACGUUUUACUUUAGGCUGGUACUACAGUAAAUUUUAUAACACUAAUGAGUAUAUUUUACGCUAAUAAAACUACUCUCAACUAA
Molecule: long non-coding RNA, 993 nt
Organism: Bombyx mori (domestic silkworm)
Lineage: Eukaryota; Metazoa; Arthropoda; Insecta; Lepidoptera; Bombycidae
Exons: 2
Source: RefSeq, a predicted model, not a curated record